RNAcentral lists this long non-coding RNA (1628 nucleotides) under Helianthus annuus (common sunflower). RNAcentral's name for it is "hypothetical non coding rna". Lineage: Eukaryota; Viridiplantae; Streptophyta; Magnoliopsida; Asterales; Asteraceae. The record is from RNAcentral.
GUUGUUGUUGUUGUUGUUUGAUUCCGGAAUUGACGUUGGCAACCACCAAACCCCAAUCAAGGUAAUUUUUUAUUGUUCCACUUUCUUGAUUCACAUAAAUUUUUCCUUAUUUAUAAUCGUUAUUUUUGCCUUAAAUUUGAUGUUUUAUUAAAUGUUGAGCUUUAAAUUGGCCUUUGAAAUUAGAAUUGAGUAUUUGUUAUUUGUUAAACAUAGAAUUAAGUAAUUGUUAGACAAUAAUAUAUAUCUGAGUAAUGGUUUUGACUUUCAAAUUUGAAUUGAUUUUUAGAAAUUGUGCACCCUAAACAAUCAUCCGGUGCUCAAAAACAUAAAAAGAGAAAAUCAUCCGAUGCCUCCUAAACAACCAUAGGUUAGCUAUUACGGCAUGUAAUUCUAUUAUUUUAAUACUAUAUUUUUGUUACGUUUAUUGCUAUAAAGUUAAUCGUCAUUUAAAAAAGAAUAGUUUAUAUAAAUCGUUAGGUGAUGUGUAGAAUGUUUAAUCCAAGGACACAAUGUAGCGACUCAAUUACACCCAAUCGUCAAGUGUACCGGUCGUUAUGUUGUCGAGUCAGUAAGACCUGGAUCGAUCCAUGGACACAAUGUAGCAACUCUUGAUACAGAACCUCUAUCGAGUCCUAGUCUAAUGAUGUUUAGUGAAUGAUUGAUUUUAUUAACUACUAAAACUAACUAAGAAUGCAAAUCACAUAAAAAAGUAAUCAAACAACGAUUAUAAGUGAAAUCAAAUGGUGAGAAAGCCGGUACCUAGGCAAAAAUCAUGUUAACUUGCUUACACCUUACGGGAUUGGAUAAUUAGGAUUUGGCUACCGUGAUCUUAAAAUACACUAUCUAGACCUAAACUAGAUGUCAAAUCACUCUCCAAACAUGACGCAAUAUGGUAUGUGGGGAACUCUGUGAACUCACCGGUCUCGGAUUUAGAUAACCUCUCAGUCUUGCUAAACAAAUGCUAAGGCACCCUAAAACUGGAUAUCCACUUGGUCACACCAAAAACAGUACAUCAAGGAUGUGUAAGGGAUGCCAAGGGUAGUAGUUCUAAGAGGUUUCUAGCACAACAUGAUAGCUAUAUAGACAUGGUAGGGGUGGCUCACUCUCAUGCAGACUAUGGUCCCGAAUAUCUAUAAACCUAGACACCCCGACAUCUAAGAUGGUAGAAUGCUAAAUUACCGAAUAGUUAAAUUACUUGUUCUUAUGGUUUACCACAUCUAGUAACCACAAGAUUGUAUCGAAAACACAAUGUCUAUGAAAAUCACUAAACCCUAUAUCAAUUAAUACACAAUCAAUUAACUUGAAUCAAGUGAACAUGCAUUAGCAUCAAAUAUCAAAUACGCAUAUGCAUUAAAAACCUGAUUAAAACACUUUUUACCAAAACAUUAGCAAAAUCAUUGAUUAUCUAAGCUGAAAAUAGUUUAUAAGCUAACAAUCAUUAUAAAACAUUAGAUAAUAUGUGAUGACUGUCGUAAGGGUCAUGCAAAAACCUAUUUAAACUAUUAGUAUAGAAUAAGCAGGGUAUCGAACCAAGGGAGGACUGUGGAAAGUGUCGUAAUGAAAAGGAUCGAUUAACUAUUACUGAAUUGGAAAAUCGGUGUGAUUGAUUAUAAGAAUUAUCUAAAUUA